Molecule: ribosomal RNA, 254 nt
Filed under: uncultured bacterium
Lineage: Bacteria
Description: partial 16S ribosomal RNA
Rfam family: Bacterial small subunit ribosomal RNA
Source: RNAcentral
UACGGGGGGAGCAAGCGUUGUUCGGAUUUACUGGGCGUAAAGGGCGCGUAGGCGGCCAGCACAAGUCAGUUGUGAAAUCUCCGAGCUUAACUCGGAAAGGUCAACUGAUACUGUGCGGCUAGAGUGCGGAAGGGGCAACUGGAAUUCUUGGUGUAGCGGUGAAAUGCGUAGAUAUCGGGAGGAACACCUGAGGCGAAGGCGGGCUACUGGGCCGAUACUGACGCUGAUGCGCGAAAGCCAGGGGAGCGAACGGG